This 570-nucleotide ribosomal RNA is filed under the name Triticum aestivum (bread wheat). RNAcentral describes it as "partial small subunit ribosomal RNA". Lineage: Eukaryota; Viridiplantae; Streptophyta; Magnoliopsida; Poales; Poaceae. The record is from RNAcentral.
AUGGUCCAGAUACUGUCCCUGAUCCACAACAAAGAUGGAAGUCUGAGUAGCAUGCCCUACAUACCAGCAGACGUCACAAACCUAAAGGCAAAGUACCGUAGAGAGAGCAGGUUGGUUGACAUAGAAGACACGAUCGCCUACUUUGAAGAGAAAGCAAAAGUAGAUCCUGAUUUCUUCUACAGGAUAAGAUUGGGCGAUGAGGAUCGUGUCAGAAACAUGUAUUGGGUGGAUGGCAUAGAGGAGGUCUUUCCAUUGGUAGCGCACAUGCACUACAGGUGGCAUAUUAUUAAGAAGGAUGAAGAGACGCUAGGACCAUUCUUUGCUGACCGUCCAGAGCUACACAAGGCAUUCGAGUUGUGUGUGGACCACAGAUUGACAAUGGAAGAGUUUGAACGGAGCUGGACGGCUAUGAUUGAAAAAUACCAAGUCCAAGACAACGAGACACUUAAUAACCUGUGGGAGAAGCAGAUGUACUGGGUGCCUGGCUUCUUCAUGCACUGCUUCUAUCCAUUUCUGCACACUGCGCAACACAGUGAGGGUUUCAAUGCUGUUUUGAAGCAUUAUAUGUGA